RNAcentral lists this ribosomal RNA (1884 nucleotides) under human gut metagenome. RNAcentral's name for it is "bacterial LSU rRNA". It matches the Rfam family "Bacterial large subunit ribosomal RNA", at positions 3 to 1980 of the family's 2925-position model. The record is from RNAcentral.
UCAAGCGAACAAGGGCGCAGGGCGAAUGCCUUGGCACUGGGAGCCGAUGAAAGACGUGAUAAGCUGCGAUAAGCUUCGGGGAGCUGCAAAUAAGCAUUGAUCCGGAGAUUUCUGAAUGAGGAAACUCACCUGGGUUCAUACUCAGGUACGUUAUACUGAACUUAAAAAUAGGUAUAUCGAGGGAACCGCCUGAACUGAAACAUCUAAGUAGGGCGAGGAAGAGACAUCAAACGAGAUUCCGUAAGUAGUGGCGAGCGAACGCGGAAGAGGGCAAACCGGAAGUAGAAAUACUUCCGGGGUACGGACCGCAUUUAGGACUUAAGUUGUUAACCGAACGGCAUGGGAAGGCCGGUCAGAGAGUGUGAGAACCACGUAGGUGAAAACGGAGAGAGCUGCGCAGGAUCCAGAGUACGGCCAGACACGUGAAACCUGGUCGGAAUACGGGGGGACCACCCUCCAACCCUAAAUACUACCCAGUGACCGAUAGCGUAUAGUACUGUGAAGGAAAGGUGAAAAGCACCCCGGGAGGGGAGUGAAAAAGAACCUGAAACCCUGUGCCUACAAGCACCUAGAGCACGUCAAAGUGUGAUAGGGUACUUUUUGUAGAACGGUCCGGCGAGCGAUUGUAUGCAGCAAGGUUAAGGACUUAAGGUCUGGAGCCGAAGCGAAAGCGAGUUUGAAAAGGGCGUUAAGUUGCAUACAAUGGGCCCGAAACCGGGUGACCUACCCAUGGUCAGGUUGAAGUGGAAGUAAAAUUCCAUGGAGGACCGAACCGACCUCCGUUGAAAAGGCGGCGGAUGAACUGUGGGUAGCGGAGAAAUUCCAAUCGAACCCGGAGAUAGCUGGUUCUCCCCGAAAUAGUUUUAGGACUAGCCUCAAGUUAGAUACCUGGAGGUAAAGCACUGAAUAGCCUAGCGGCCGAGAGGUUAGCGAAGCUUAUCAAACUCAGAAUGCCAGAGUAUUGAUGCUUGGGAGUCAGACAGUGUCAGAUAAAUGUCAUUGUCAAAAGGGAAACAGCCCAGAUCUACAGCUAAGGUCCCAAAGUCAGGUUAAGUGGAAAACGAUGUGAAGAUACGUAGACAACCAGGAUGUUGGCUCAGAAGCAGCCACACAUUCAAAGAGUGCGUAAUAGCUCACUGGUCGAGCGUCUUUGCGCGGAGAAUUUAACGGGGCUAAACCUGACACCGAAGCUUAGGCAAUACAGCAAUGUAUUGGGUAGGGGAGCGUUGUAUACGCGGUGAAACAGUAGCGCAAGCGGCUGUGGAGUGUAUAGAAGUGAGAAUGCCGGAAUGAGUAGCGCGAAUGCAGUGAGAAUCUGCAUGGCCGAAAGCCUCAGGUUUCUGGAGGAAGGUUCGUCCGCUCCAGGUUAGUCGGGAGCUAAGGUGAGGCCUAACGGCGUAGCCGAUGCACAGACGGUAGAGAUUCCGUCACCACCAAAAGAGUUAAGCACAGGGACACAUUUGAAGUCUCGGAGCCGGGUGUUGGUUCCGGUAGCGAUCGAGGGAAGUUAGUACCGAAGUCCGGGAUGGAAGAUGGCGAGAAAAGCUGUGUGUAUUUCUGCGGUGCCCGUACCGCAAACCGACACAGGUAGGUAGGAAGAAGAUUCUAAGGCCAACGGGAGAAGGGUUGUUAAGGAACUCGGCAAAUUGACCCCGUAACUUCGGGAGAAGGGGUGCUCCAGAGAUGGAGCCGCAGAGAAUCGGCCCAAGCAACUGUUUACCAAAAACACAGGUUUGUGCUAAAUCGAAAGAUGACGUAUACGAGCUGACGCCUGCCCGGUGCUGGAAGGUUAAGAGGAGAUGUGCAAGCAUUGAAUCGAAGCCCCAGUGAACGGCGGCCGUAACUAUAACGGUCCUAAGGUAGCGAAAUUCCUUGUCAGGUAAG